This 1430-nucleotide ribosomal RNA is filed under the name uncultured bacterium. RNAcentral's name for it is "bacterial SSU rRNA". It matches the Rfam family "Bacterial small subunit ribosomal RNA". The record is from RNAcentral.
GAGUUUGAUCCUGGCUCAGGACGAACGCUGGCGGCGUGCUUAAGCUAUGCAAGUGGGACGGUCGCCUUUGGCGACAGUCGCGGACGGGUGAGUAACGCGUAGGAAUCUACCCUAAAGUUAAGGAUAACCUCGAGAAAUUGGGGCUAAUCCUGGAUGUGCCCGCAAGGGUAAAGGCUUCGGCCGCUUUAGGAUGAGCCUGCGUCCUAUCAGCUUGUUGGUGAGGUAAUUGCUCACCAAGGCGAUGACGGGUAGGGGGCGUGAGAGCGCGGUCCCCCACAAGGGCACUGAGACACGGGCCCUACACCUACGGGUGGCAGCAAGUAGGAAUCAUGCGCAAUGGGCGAAAGCCUGACGCUGCGACGCCGCGUGCGGGAAUGACGGCCGGAAGGUCGUAAACCGCUGUGGAGGGGGGAGAUAAUGACGGUACCCCUCUAGAAAGCAGUUGCUAACUACGUGCCAGAAGCCUCGGUCAAACGUAGGCUGCAAGCGUUGUCCGGAGUUAUUGGGCGUAAAGGGUUGGGCAGGCGGCUAUGUAAGUCAUUGGUUAAAACUUACGGCUUAACUGUAAGUUUGCCAGUGAAACUGCGUGGCUAGAGGCAGAUAGGGGUCAGCGGAACUGCUGGAGUAGGGGUAAAAUCCAUUGAUACCAGCAGGAACACCUAAGGCGAAGGCAGCUGACUGGGUCUUGCCUGACGCUCAUCCACGAAAGCUAGGGUAGCGAAACGGAUUAGAUACCCGUGCAGUCCUAGCCGUAAACAUUGGACACUAGCCUGGUGGCUUUUGUUGCCAGGCGCAAGCUAACGUGUUAAGUGUCCCGCCUGGGGAGUACGGUCGCAAGAUUAAAACUUAAAGGAAUUGGCGGGGGCUCGCACAAGCGGUGGAGCGCGUGGUUUAAUUGGAUGAUAAGCCAAGAACCUUACCAGGCCUUGACAUGCUAGUAGUAGGAACCUGAAAGGGGGACGAUCUCGUUUAAUCGAGAAGCUAGCACAGGUGUUGCACGGCUGUCGUCAGCUCGUCUCGUGAGAGGUAGGGUUAAGACCUACAACGAGCGCAACCCAUACCGUUAGUUGUAUCACUCUAGCGGGACUGCCCGGGUAACCGGGAGGAAGGUGUGGACGACGUCAAGUCAGCGUUGCCCUUAUGGUCUGGGCGACACACGCGCUACAAUGGCGGGGACAAUGGGCAGCCACGUCGUAAGGCGGAGCUAAUCCCAAAACCUCGUCUCAGUUCGGAUUGGGGUCUGCAACCCGACCCCAUGAAGUCGGAAUCGCUAGUAAUCGCGUAUCAGCCACGGCGCGGUGAAUACGUUCUCGAGCCUUGCACACACCGCCCGUCACGUGAGCCAAGUUGGGAGUGCCCGAAGUUCUCCGCCUUGCGGAGGAUUAAGGUAAACUCAGCGAGGAGCGCGAAGUCGUAACAAGGUAGCCGUA